Molecule: ribosomal RNA, 248 nt
Filed under: uncultured Lachnospiraceae bacterium
Lineage: Bacteria; Bacillati; Bacillota; Clostridia; Lachnospirales; Lachnospiraceae
Description: partial 16S ribosomal RNA
Rfam family: Bacterial small subunit ribosomal RNA
Source: RNAcentral
UACGUAGGGGGCAAGCGUUAUCCGGAUUUACUGGGUGUAAAGGGAGCGUAGACGGUAUGGCAAGUCUGAAGUGAAAGCCCCGGGCUCAACCCGGGAACUGCUUUGGAAACUGUUAAACUGGAGUGCUGGAGAGGCAGGCGGAAUUCCUAGUGUAGCGGUGAAAUGCGUAGAUAUUAGGAGGAACACCAGUGGCGAAGGCGGCCUGCUGGACAGUAACUGACGUUGAGGCUCGAAAGCGUGGGGAGCAA